RNAcentral lists this microRNA precursor (188 nucleotides) under Oryza brachyantha (malo sina). RNAcentral describes it as "MIR812 microRNA precursor family". It matches the Rfam family "MIR812 microRNA precursor family". Lineage: Eukaryota; Viridiplantae; Streptophyta; Magnoliopsida; Poales; Poaceae. The record is from Rfam by way of RNAcentral.
AAUAAGAUCAUUUUUCAGUUUUUUUAUACAAUGGUUUGACUCUUCGUUUUAUUUAAAUUUUUUUGCGAUUAAUAUUUUUGUUUUUAUUAGAUGAUAAAUCAUGAAUAGUACUUUAUACAUGACUAUUUUUUAAAGUUUUUUACAAAAUUUUCAAAUAAGACGAAUGGUCAAGCGUUGGACAUGAAAAA